AUUACUUUGGCAGAAUAGUGUUUUAAAUUUAGAAUUUAAUUAUGUAUAAUUAGAUUAUACAAGUAAUA
Molecule: transfer RNA, 68 nt
Filed under: Onthophagus cuniculus
Lineage: Eukaryota; Metazoa; Arthropoda; Insecta; Coleoptera; Scarabaeidae
Description: tRNA-Leu
Source: RNAcentral